This 485-nucleotide ribosomal RNA is filed under the name uncultured beta proteobacterium. Its description in RNAcentral is "SSU rRNA". It matches the Rfam family "Bacterial small subunit ribosomal RNA", at positions 242 to 719 of the family's 1533-position model. Lineage: Bacteria; Pseudomonadati; Pseudomonadota; Betaproteobacteria. The record is from RNAcentral.
CAGCUUGUUGGCGGGGUAAAAGCCCACCAAGGCGACGAUCUGUAGCUGGUCUGAGAGGACGACCAGCCACACUGGGACUGAGACACGGCCCAGACUCCUACGGGAGGCAGCAGUGGGGAAUUUUGGACAAUGGGCGCAAGCCUGAUCCAGCCAUGCCGCGUGUGGGAAGAAGGCCUUCGGGUUGUAAACCACUUUUGUCAGGGAAGAAACGGCUUUUACUAAUAUUAGGAGCUAAUGACGGUACCUGAAGAAUAAGCACCGGCUAACUACGUGCCAGCAGCCGCGGUAAUACGUAGGGUGCAAGCGUUAAUCGGAAUUACUGGGCGUAAAGCGUGCGCAGGCGGCUUUGCAAGACAGAUGUGAAAUCCCCGGGCUCAACCUGGGAACUGCAUUUGUGACUGCAUGGCUAGAGUACGGUAGAGGGGGAUGGAAUUCCGCGUGUACCAGUGAAAUGCGUAAAUAUGCGGAGGAACACCGAUGGCGAA